CCAAAUGGGCCAGUGCAAAUCCUACUUGGAUAACUGUGGUAAUUCCAGAGCUAAUACAUGCAACUGAUAUCCCGAAGGCGGUGUUUGUGCUUGCUUGCCUUGCGCUGGCAUUGCUCUGACGGAUGCUUUUAUUAGACCAAGCCGCUGAGGACUUGAGGGUUCGCGCUCUCUUGUUUGACUCGUGUGAUGGUGACUCUGGAUAACCAAAUUCUGACAAGCGCACGUACUUCUCUUCUGAGCGAGACGGCGCUGCCACUUUCGAGUGUCUGCCUUAUCAGCUAUCAACCGUUCGUUAUGCGCGACCGAUGGCUUUGACGGGUAACGGGGAAUCAGGGUUCGAUUCCGGAGAGGCAGCCUGAGAGACGGCUACCACGUCCAAGGACGGCAGCAGGCACGCAAAUUACCCAAUCCCAGCAAAUGGGGGAGGUAGUGACGAAAUCUAACGAUGCGGGCGCCCUUUCUGGGGCCCCGCAAUCGGAAUGGGCACUUUCUAAACAACCUGUUGAGAACCUACUGAAGG
RNAcentral lists this ribosomal RNA (520 nucleotides) under Brandtia latissima. Its description in RNAcentral is "bacterial SSU rRNA". It matches the Rfam family "Eukaryotic small subunit ribosomal RNA", at positions 117 to 554 of the family's 1831-position model. Lineage: Eukaryota; Metazoa; Arthropoda; Malacostraca; Amphipoda; Acanthogammaridae. The record is from RNAcentral.